This 253-nucleotide ribosomal RNA is filed under the name uncultured prokaryote. RNAcentral describes it as "partial 16S ribosomal RNA". It matches the Rfam family "Bacterial small subunit ribosomal RNA", at positions 524 to 776 of the family's 1533-position model. The record is from RNAcentral.
UACAGAGGUCCCGAGCGUUGUUCGGAUUCACUGGGCGUAAAGGGUGCGUAGGUGGCCAAAUAAGUCUGAUGUGAAAUCUCGAAGCUUAACUUCGAAACUGCAUUGGAUACUAUCUGGCUGGAGGGUUGGAGGGGGGACUGGAAUUCUCGGUGUAGCAGUGAAAUGCGUAGAUAUCGAGAGGAACACCAGUGGCGAAGGCGAGUCCCUGGACAACUCCUGACACUGAGGCACGAAAGCUAGGGGAGCAAACAGG